This 301-nucleotide ribosomal RNA is filed under the name uncultured bacterium. RNAcentral's name for it is "partial 16S ribosomal RNA". It matches the Rfam family "Bacterial small subunit ribosomal RNA", at positions 509 to 807 of the family's 1533-position model. The record is from RNAcentral.
CAGCAGCCGCGGGAAAACGGAGGGUGCAAGCGUUAAUCGGAAUUACUGGGCGUAAAGCGCACGCAGGCGGUCUGACAAGUCAGAUGUGAAAUCCCCGGGCUUAACCUGGGAACUGCAUUUGAAACUGUCAGGCUGGAGUCUUGUAGAGGGGGGUGGAAUUCCAGGUGUAGCGGUGAAAUGCGUAGAGAUCUGGAGGAAUACCGGUGGCGAAGGCGGCCCCCUGGACAAAGACUGACGCUCAGGUGCGAAAGCGUGGGGAGCAAACAGGAUUAGAUACCCGAGUAGUCCCUGUCUCUUAUAC